RNAcentral lists this ribosomal RNA (454 nucleotides) under uncultured bacterium. Its description in RNAcentral is "bacterial SSU rRNA". It matches the Rfam family "Bacterial small subunit ribosomal RNA", at positions 791 to 1243 of the family's 1533-position model. The record is from RNAcentral.
UAGUCCACGCCCUAAACGAUGUUUACUCGAUGUUUGGACAGUAAGUUUGAGCAUCCAAGGGAAACCAUUAAGUAAACCACCUGGGGAGUACGGCCGCAAGGCUAAAACUCAAAUGAAUUGACGGGGACCCGCACAAGCGGUGGAGCAUGUGGUUUAAUUCGAUGCAACGCGAAGAACCUUACCUACACUUGACAUCAUCAGAACUUGUUAGAGAUAACUCGGUGCCUUCGGGAACUGAUAGACAGGUGCUGCAUGGCUGUCGUCAGCUCGUGUCGUGAGAUGUUGGGUUAAGUCCCGNAACGAGCGCAACCCCUAUCCUUAGUUGCCAGCACGUUAUGGUGGGAACUCUAAGGAGACUGCCGGUGACAAACCGGNGGAAGGUGGGGAUGACGUCAAGUCAUCAUGGGCCCUUAUCGUGUAGGGGCUACACACGUGCUACAAUGGACGGUACAGA